GAGGUUAACAUGAUGGACUACAGGACAGUGCUGCUGUUUUUAACUGUCUUUUGGACAGGAAGCCACUCUCAGACUCUAAAAGAAUCUGAACCAGCAAAUAAAAGACCAGGAGAAUCCCACACCCUGACCUGUACCGCUUCAGGAUUCACAUUCCCAGAUUAUGCAAUGCACUGGAUCAGACAGGCUCCUGGGAAAGGACUGGAGUGGGUUGCUGGCAUAAGUUGGCGCAGUGGUACCAGCCAGUGGUACUCUUCAUCAGUCCGAGGCCGCUUUACCAUCUCCAGAGACAACAGCAAGCAGCAGGUGUAUCUGCAGAUGAACAGCCUGAAGACUGAAGAUUCAGCUGUUUAUUUCUGCGCUCGACAGACACAGUGACUGAAGUUGGUUGAGCAGCUGUAC
This is a non-coding RNA of Poecilia latipinna (sailfin molly), 399 nucleotides long. The record is from the annotation of a RefSeq genome assembly. Lineage: Eukaryota; Metazoa; Chordata; Actinopteri; Cyprinodontiformes; Poeciliidae.